Molecule: ribosomal RNA, 1465 nt
Filed under: Lacticaseibacillus rhamnosus
Lineage: Bacteria; Bacillati; Bacillota; Bacilli; Lactobacillales; Lactobacillaceae
Description: bacterial SSU rRNA
Rfam family: Bacterial small subunit ribosomal RNA
Source: RNAcentral
GCCUGCGCGUGCCUAAUACAUGCAAGUCGAACGAGUUCUGAUUAUUGAAAGGUGCUUGCAUCUUGAUUUAAUUUUGAACGAGUGGCGGACGGGUGAGUAACACGUGGGUAACCUGCCCUUAAGUGGGGGAUAACAUUUGGAAACAGAUGCUAAUACCGCAUAAAUCCAAGAACCGCAUGGUUCUUGGCUGAAAGAUGGCGUAAGCUAUCGCUUUUGGAUGGACCCGCGGCGUAUUAGCUAGUUGGUGAGGUAACGGCUCACCAAGGCAAUGAUACGUAGCCGAACUGAGAGGUUGAUCGGCCACAUUGGGACUGAGACACGGCCCAAACUCCUACGGGAGGCAGCAGUAGGGAAUCUUCCACAAUGGACGCAAGUCUGAUGGAGCAACGCCGCGUGAGUGAAGAAGGCUUUCGGGUCGUAAAACUCUGUUGUUGGAGAAGAAUGGUCGGCAGAGUAACUGUUGUCGGCGUGACGGUAUCCAACCAGAAAGCCACGGCUAACUACGUGCCAGCAGCCGCGGUAAUACGUAGGUGGCAAGCGUUAUCCGGAUUUAUUGGGCGUAAAGCGAGCGCAGGCGGUUUUUUAAGUCUGAUGUGAAAGCCCUCGGCUUAACCGAGGAAGUGCAUCGGAAACUGGGAAACUUGAGUGCAGAAGAGGACAGUGGAACUCCAUGUGUAGCGGUGAAAUGCGUAGAUAUAUGGAAGAACACCAGUGGCGAAGGCGGCUGUCUGGUCUGUAACUGACGCUGAGGCUCGAAAGCAUGGGUAGCGAACAGGAUUAGAUACCCUGGUAGUCCAUGCCGUAAACGAUGAAUGCUAGGUGUUGGAGGGUUUCCGCCCUUCAGUGCCGCAGCUAACGCAUUAAGCAUUCCGCCUGGGGAGUACGACCGCAAGGUUGAAACUCAAAGGAAUUGACGGGGGCCCGCACAAGCGGUGGAGCAUGUGGUUUAAUUCGAAGCAACGCGAAGAACCUUACCAGGUCUUGACAUCUUUUGAUCACCUGAGAGAUCAGGUUUCCCCUUCGGGGGCAAAAUGACAGGUGGUGCAUGGUUGUCGUCAGCUCGUGUCGUGAGAUGUUGGGUUAAGUCCCGCAACGAGCGCAACCCUUAUGACUAGUUGCCAGCAUUUAGUUGGGCACUCUAGUAAGACUGCCGGUGACAAACCGGAGGAAGGUGGGGAUGACGUCAAAUCAUCAUGCCCCUUAUGACCUGGGCUACACACGUGCUACAAUGGAUGGUACAACGAGUUGCGAGACCGCGAGGUCAAGCUAAUCUCUUAAAGCCAUUCUCAGUUCGGACUGUAGGCUGCAACUCGCCUACACGAAGUCGGAAUCGCUAGUAAUCGCGGAUCAGCACGCCGCGGUGAAUACGUUCCCGGGCCUUGUACACACCGCCCGUCACACCAUGAGAGUUUGUAACACCCGAAGCCGGUGGCGUAACCCUUUUAGGGAGCGAGCCGUCUAAGGU